GAUGAACGCUGGCGGCGUGCCUAAUACAUGCAAGUCGAGCGAAUGGAUUAAGAGCUUGCUCUUAUGAAGUUAGCGGCGGACGGGUGAGUAACACGUGGGUAACCUGCCCAUAAGACUGGGAUAACUCCGGGAAACCGGGGCUAAUACCGGAUAACAUUUUGAACCGCGUGGUUCGAAAUUGAAAGGCGGCUUCGGCUGUCACUUAUGGAUGGACCCGCGUCGCAUUAGCUAGUUGGUGAGGUAACGGCUCACCAAGGCAACGAUGCGUAGCCGACCUGAGAGGGUGAUCGGCCACACUGGGACUGAGACACGGCCCAGACUCCUACGGGAGGCAGCAGUAGUGAAUCUUCCGCAAUGGACGGACGACUGACGGAGAAACGCCGCCUGAGUGCUGAACGCUUUCAGGUCGUAAAGCUCUGUUGUUAGGGAAGAACAACUGCUAGUUGAAUAAGCUGGCACAUUGACGGUACCCAAGCAGAAAGCCACGGCUAACGACGUGCGAUCCGCCACAGAAA
RNAcentral lists this ribosomal RNA (515 nucleotides) under uncultured bacterium. RNAcentral's name for it is "partial 16S ribosomal RNA". It matches the Rfam family "Bacterial small subunit ribosomal RNA", at positions 28 to 523 of the family's 1533-position model. The record is from RNAcentral.